CCUACGGGUGGCAGCAGUGAGGAAUAUUGGUCAAUGGGCGGAAGCCUGAACCAGCCAAGUCGCGUGAGGGAUUAAGGCCCUAUGGGUCGUAAACCUCUUUUGUCAGGGAGCAAUGGCGUCCACGUGUGGGCGUAUGUAGAUUACCUGAAGAAAAGGCAUCGGCUAACUCGGUGCCAGCAGCCGCGGUAAUACGGGGGAUGGGAGCGUUAUCCGGAUUGAUGGGGUUAAAGGGGUGCGUAAGCGGGACCUUAGGUCAGCGGUAAAAUUGCGGUUCUCAACGCCGUAGAGCCGUUGAAACUGGGGGUCUUGAGUGAGCGAGAAGUAUGCGGAAUGCGUGGUGUAGCGGUGAAAUGUAUAGAUAUCACGCAGAACCCCGAUUGCGAAGGCAGCAUACCGGCGCUCAACUGACGCUGAGGCACGAAAGUGCGGGUAUCGAACAGGAUUAGAUACCCCUGUAGUC
RNAcentral lists this ribosomal RNA (460 nucleotides) under uncultured bacterium. RNAcentral's name for it is "partial 16S ribosomal RNA". It matches the Rfam family "Bacterial small subunit ribosomal RNA", at positions 338 to 795 of the family's 1533-position model. The record is from RNAcentral.